AUUGAACGCUGGCGGCAGGCUUAACACAUGCAAGUCGAGCGGUAACAGGAGAAGCUUGCUUCUCGCUGACGAGCGGCGGACGGGUGAGUAAUACUUAGGAAUCUACCUAGUAGUGGGGGAUAGCUCGGGGAAACUCGAAUUAAUACCGCAUACGACCUACGGGAGAAAGGGGGCAGUUUACUGCUCUCGCUAUUAGAUGAGCCUAAGUCGGAUUAGCUAGUUGGUGGGGUAAAGGCCUACCAAGGCGACGAUCUGUAGCUGGUCUGAGAGGAUGAUCAGCCACACCGGGACUGAGACACGGCCCGGACUCCUACGGGAGGCAGCAGUGGGGAAUAUUGGACAAUGGGGGCAACCCUGAUCCAGCCAUGCCGCGUGUGUGAAGAAGGCCUUUUGGUUGUAAAGCACUUUAAGCAGUGAAGAAGACUCCAUGGUUAAUACCCAUGGACGAUGACAUUAGCUGCAGAAUAAGCACCGGCUAACUCUGUGCCAGCAGCCGCGGUAAUACAGAGGGUGCAAGCGUUAAUCGGAAUUACUGGGCGUAAA
This 543-nucleotide ribosomal RNA is filed under the name Psychrobacter sp. HN31. RNAcentral's name for it is "bacterial SSU rRNA". It matches the Rfam family "Bacterial small subunit ribosomal RNA", at positions 28 to 564 of the family's 1533-position model. Lineage: Bacteria; Pseudomonadati; Pseudomonadota; Gammaproteobacteria; Moraxellales; Moraxellaceae. The record is from RNAcentral.